Molecule: transfer RNA, 73 nt
Filed under: Paniegekko madjo
Lineage: Eukaryota; Metazoa; Chordata; Lepidosauria; Squamata; Diplodactylidae
Description: tRNA-Asn
Source: RNAcentral
UAGAUUGAAGCCCGCUGGUUUAGGUUUUUAGUUGUUAACUAAAGGUUUACGGGAUCAAGGCCCGUCGGUCUAG